This 78-nucleotide transfer RNA is filed under the name Candidatus Methanosuratincola petrocarbonis (ex Vanwonterghem et al. 2016). Its description in RNAcentral is "tRNA-Glu". It matches the Rfam family "tRNA". Rfam says of the family: Transfer RNA (tRNA) molecules are approximately 80 nucleotides in length. Their secondary structure includes four short double-helical elements and three loops (D, anti-codon, and T loops). Further hydrogen bonds mediate the characteristic L-shaped molecular structure. tRNAs have two regions of fundamental functional importance: the anti-codon, which is responsible for specific mRNA codon recognition, and the 3' end, to which the tRNAs corresponding amino acid is attached (by aminoacyl-tRNA synthetases). tRNAs cope with the degeneracy of the genetic code in two manners: having more than one tRNA (with a specific anti-codon) for a particular amino acid; and 'wobble' base-pairing, i.e. permitting non-standard base-pairing at the 3rd anti-codon position. RNAcentral also lists the same sequence under 4 other names. The record is from RNAcentral. Lineage: Archaea; Thermoproteati; Thermoproteota; Methanosuratincolia; Candidatus Methanomethylicales; Candidatus Methanomethylicaceae.
GCUCCGGUAGUAUAGUCCGGUCAAGUAUAUUGGCCUCUCGAGCCAGUGACCCGGGUUCAAAUCCCGGCCGGAGCACCA